RNAcentral lists this transfer RNA (84 nucleotides) under Candidatus Hydrogenedentota bacterium. RNAcentral's name for it is "tRNA-Ser". It matches the Rfam family "tRNA". Rfam says of the family: Transfer RNA (tRNA) molecules are approximately 80 nucleotides in length. Their secondary structure includes four short double-helical elements and three loops (D, anti-codon, and T loops). Lineage: Bacteria; Pseudomonadati; Candidatus Hydrogenedentota. The record is from RNAcentral. RNAcentral also lists the same sequence under 1 other name.
GGAGGGGUAGCCUAAUUGGUAAGGCACCGGUCUUGAAAACCGGCGACUUCGGUCUUGCGGGUUCGAGUCCCGCCCCCUCCGCCA